This 590-nucleotide long non-coding RNA is filed under the name Nicotiana benthamiana. RNAcentral describes it as "long non-coding RNA (NBEN_LNC028013)". Lineage: Eukaryota; Viridiplantae; Streptophyta; Magnoliopsida; Solanales; Solanaceae. The record is from RNAcentral.
AGCCACCGGUCUAGAUCACUUCAUAUUCCGGUUUUCCAGCUCCACAACUGCGUGCCAUGGAUUCUGGCACGAUACGGCGCUGGUAUUACCCUCGGCUUUGUUCAUAGUGUACUUAGGGUUUCAUGCUAGGAGCAACCUUAAGAAGCUCAAUCACCGUCGAUCGUCUAUUAUGAUCGGAUACUAUGGACUUCUGUGGUUUGCUGCUCUUUUAAAUCUAGCUUGGUGCUUUCUUCAGGUAAUUUUAUCUUUUUCACUUCCUUUAGCGUGACGGUAAAUAUUUCCUUGUUAUAUUACUCGUCUUAUUUAUUCAAUUUCGAGAUAUUUUAAUGACUUGUGGUCCUGUGGAGUUGUACUUUUAUGUAGUUUACAGAUACGUACAUCUUAUACUCUGAAAAAUGCUAACUCAUUGUCUCAUGUUGGAAUUGGAUACGGCGCUUGUAUUACCCUCGGCUUUGUUCAUAGUGUACUUAGGGUUUCAUGCUAGGAGCAACCUUAAGAAGCUCAAUCACCGUCGAUCGUGUAUCAUGAUUGGAUACUAUGGACUUUUGUGGUUUGCUGCUCUUUUAAAUCUAGCUUGGUGCUUUCUUCAG